RNAcentral lists this non-coding RNA (22 nucleotides) under Arabidopsis thaliana (thale cress). Lineage: Eukaryota; Viridiplantae; Streptophyta; Magnoliopsida; Brassicales; Brassicaceae. The record is from RNAcentral.
UGGUCAUUCCUUCUAUUCUACC